This 132-nucleotide small RNA is filed under the name Arabidopsis thaliana (thale cress). RNAcentral's name for it is "ATSL284430". Lineage: Eukaryota; Viridiplantae; Streptophyta; Magnoliopsida; Brassicales; Brassicaceae. The record is from RNAcentral.
UAAAGCUCUUCAUAACUUAUCUUCUCAAAAAACAUCCCCACAGUAGUAGAAUCAGAUGGAUUAGUAUACUACCACUAACAUCGUUCUUCUUCUUGAACCAAGACAAAGAAGCCACAAUUAUGAAUAAAAAAA